GUGCCGCAGAAGCCCUGCCCGCCUGCUGCUUGGUGUUUAGCACAACACCCGGUGCCAAGCAGGUGUUCAGAGCUGAGAACGGUUGGAAAACUGGAUGGAAACAGCCGGGCCUCGAAGUGGGCAGUGGUGUGGCGAUUGAGCAGGUGCUGACAGCUGAGCCAUUCCACACACCUUUGGGGCAAAGAAGUGCCGGAAGCCAGGGCCAAGUUCAAAGACCAAACAUUCUUUCCAAGGCGACCAGAAGCACCCUGGAGGGCUGGCUCCUAGUUACAUAAACCGCAGUCCCGUCCCACUGUCCCAGAGCUGUUGAGGAGACGCUGAGGAUUGAAAAGGUGCAGACCGUUCCUGCUCGUCUCCGACACAUUUCCCAGGACUCCCAGCUCCGCCUGUCAGCAAGGAAGGGUGCGAUCAGGGGUACUUGGGAGCAGGGGAGCCAAGCCUCUAGACACAGGCAAUGUCAAUAACAGCAACGGAUAACCAAGAGGAAUAAGCCAAACACGGACGGAGAAGGAUCAGGAUCAGUCCGGUGAGAGGUUGUGACGUCAUCACUGGCAGCCCCAGGGAGAUGACGGAUGAGCCAUCUGUAUGCAUCGAAACUACAGACAUAAAUAAAAGUUGUACAGACUUGAGUUAGGCAGAUAAAACCACAUCACGCGUUAAUUGGUAUUUUCCUUAUCGUGGAGAGGGAACAUAUCUACCAGACAUUCAGGACCAGACACAUGACACACACUUCAGCAGGCUGAGAGGCAGGAAGAUCAUGAGUUCGAGGUCAGCCUGAGCUAUAAAGUGAGUUUCGGGCCAGUUUGGAUUAUAUGGUGAGUGUCCGUCUCGGAAUACAACACAACACAACACAACACAGCACUCAGGUCCAUUGAUUGAACAUUUAUUAGGUGCCAGGCCUUGUUGUCAGGGUCGCAUCCAGUUUUAUAGUGCUAUUGAGGCAGGGUACCAAUGCCUUUCAACUUCCCAAGAAUGAAAACUUCCCAAGCUCCUUUGCUUCCCUGCUGUAAGACCGUAGCUGAAGCCAGCUGCCUCCUCUGUACUGUGAUCUCUUUGAUGACCAUUGUUUUAACCCAAGGGCAGAAACAUGCUGGUAGGCAAGUUUAUGAAGUACUCCUAGUUUUAAAACAGGCUUACGGUAAGACCUCUAAUAAAAAUCAGCAGACUGCCUUAUGUUCAGUUUUCCUCUGCUACUAAAUCAUCUUUUCUUUCCUUUCUUUACAACUAAGCUUAGACAUUUACCAAACAAGCUUCAGAAAGCAGGACGGGAGACUGAGUGGCUCCUGGGUUCACAUAGGCAGGGAGCAGAGGCCGAGAUCCGCUUCCCUAGAGCUCUUCAAACCGAACGGACUUGCACUUGUUGCUUAAGUGUCUUGAGGCCUCUGUUUCCACAUCUGAGAAAUGGGGAAAUUGUGGUAUUUGUUGUGAAGAUAAUUCGAUUUAAAGAUUGGGUAACUGGGUCACGGAAGGCCACAAAAUGCCCCAGCAAAGGUAGCUUCUUCGUGUGUGUGUGUGUGUGUGUGUGUGUGUGUGUGUUUGUGUGCGUGCAUGUGAGUGUGCGUAUGUGUGUGCAUGUGCGCGUGUGCGUGUGUUUUUGUAUGUGUGUGUGUUUGUGUGUGUGUUUCUAUGUGUGUGUGCGUGUGUGUGUGAGUGUGUGUGUCUGUUUGUGUGUGUGUCUGUGUGUGUGUUUGUAUGUGUGCGUGUGUGUGUGUGUGUGUGUGUGUGUGUGUGUGUAUAGCUAUUGAUAGAUCCAUCAGUUCAUCUAUUUAUAACCAUGGAUAGCUCGGUGAGUGCAUAACAGGGAAAUCCAAACACACUGGUGGCCCAGUUACACCAUGGCUACUUUCUCCCCAGCAAACCUGCUAGGUCUCCUUUGCGGUUUUUAAAGGUAAGAUCCAGAUUGUCCAGCUUUCAUCCACCUCCUAGCUCCUCUGUUCUCUUUAUUCUUUCUUAUACUCCAGCUCUCUGUGUGUUGGUUGGAGAGGAGGAGGGAGAAGGGAGGGACUGAUAUCACUUACCUGUCCAUCCACGGCCACAGUCUAGUCAGACUAGGGAGGUUGAGCAUUAGAGGCAGGCGCCUAAGGGAUGGUGACCCAGUGAGUCAUUGGAAAGCCUGAUAGGCCUGACACCUCCCUCGGCUCCAUCCAGAGCCUCUAUCUUUGCAGGCAAUGAUGCAUUGUGCGGCUCAUCUGUCUGGUAUCUACUAACUUGCCUUCAUACUUACGUGUCACUUGCGGAUAUUUUCUCGGUACUCUGAGAGGUGGUCUAUUAGUCGGUUGCCCUUAACAACUCAUACCUUAAGUAAACAAUCCCAUGACACUUCUUUACUUCUCUAUGGCUGUCCCCACCUCCACCGAAUGUUGUUUACAUACUUCUCUGGGUUGCCACAUCAGACAGGAAACUCUUCUUGAUUGCAUUUUUCUGUUUUCUCAACUGUGUUGUGAGUCCCUGGAGUUGACCGGGCCUUCUCUUGCCGAGUGACUUGAAUACAGGCUUGUACAGUUUUGACAGGUGACGUUUUUGCCACUAUUUCUCAAUUACCUGAUUCAUCCUACAAACCCAUCUGUGAUUGCUCCAUUGUGUACAGGAACCCAGCAGUGGCCCUCACAACAUCGCUGUCUGACAGAGACAGAGAUGAGCUGGUGGUGCCAUCUGCUCUUGCUGUAGGAGGAGAAGCCUCUUCGUUCCAUUUCCUGUCCUUCUCCCUGUCUGCUCAGUAUCAGGAUAGACAGCCUAAAGAGCAGAAGCUGCCAUAAUGAAAACUUAAACAUGGACAGGAGACAACUUUCACACACUUAUUCAUUUUAGAGAUCUGUGUGGCGAGGUCAGGGUGGAGGACCUGCGUGCUGAGGGUCAGGUAGAGGGCCAAGGACAACUUGGGAGAGUCAUUUCUUUCCUGUAGCCAUUCUUUACUUCCUGAACCAUCACAUUGGUCGGAUCCAGGAACUUGUGUUUAGCACCCAUUUGACAGGAGUUUCUCAGUGUGGAACUCCAGCCCCUACCUCAUUUCUCUUCCCGUUUACUUUCUUAGCUUUCUCAUCGGCUGAUGAACUCAUCUGGUGUUCCUUAGACCAACACCUCUAGUCCCAUUUCACAGAGUCCAAAUCACAAAGGGGGAAAUGGUAUUUAUUUGGCGAAUUCCAUAUUGAAGGUAUUGUGCUGGGCACAAUAGAUACAUUGAAGAAGCCCCGCUUAGGAAGCUGAGGUGGAAGAUGGCAACUUUGAUGCCAGCAUGGUCCUGACUGCCUGUCUGAGACUGGGGAAGAGGCUGAGGGAGGAGAAGGAGGAAGAAGGGGAAGGAUAAGUUGCUAUUUUUGCUGGUAUGUUUUUAUUUUUCCACCAAUAAAGUGGCAAGUCUUUUAAGGAAGAAAACAUCUAGUGUUUCUUUAUGUCAUGACUUUUCCCUCUUGUAUUUUGGUUAGAACAAGUAACUCUUAUCACGGGAUAAGAGCUCUGGUCAUUGCCUCCCCCAACACCCUUCCCCCACUGAGGUCAAGCAAGCCACAAUGCCUGGGCUUGCAGCCCAGUCAGCCUACAGCACUAAACCUUUCUAUGAAGCUCUUACAGAAACGUGGUCUGCACCAGUGACCCUGUGGUCUGCACAGCUCACCACUCUGCUUUCUACACAAUUCAUUAAGCUGUGCCUGCUAACGCCCCGAGUGACUACUAGCCAGUAGCCACAUCUGGCGUGUGGCCUCUAGUCCUUUACUUGUUUACCUAUUCAUCUUUAUCACCAUCACCACCACCACCACCACCACCACCAUCAUCAUCAUCAUCAUCAUUAUAAUCAUCAUGGUUUUACAUUGCCCCACACCCUGCUUCUAAAUCCCAUUACAAUACCCCUUUCUCUUAUCGUCUGCUGAAAUGAGAUCAUUCCCCCAGCACCCCGACUUGACUCUAUCAUUCUAUACUUGGUUGCCAGGAAGUCUCUUCUGUGGUCAUGUCUUCAGCUGUAACCCAUAUUCUGUAGUUAGGACAGCAAUCUUGAUCACUCCAUGAGAGCAGAGACCUCAUGAUCUAGUCAUCCCGGAAGUGGCUCACUCUUCAAUGCCGCUGCACUGGAGAGUGUCUUUGGUUGUUUUCUGUUGCUAUAAUUGGAUGCUAGAGACUUGGUAACCUGUAAAAGAAACAAGUUUAUGCUGGCCCACCAUCCCAUAGUCCAAAAGUUGAAAUAUUGGUCUGUCUGACUUCCAUGCAGGGCCUCCUGAUGCUUGAACGCAUGACUGAAAGCAGAAAUAGGAAACGGUACUCGUGGGAUACAGAAAGGGGAGCCGAAUACAUGAGUGUAGACAGACAGACAGACAUACAGACAGACAGAAACACGCACACACAGGCCUUUCUGCCCUGACAGAAGCUUCUUAUUCCUAUUAUUCUGGAUGUGUGUUAAAUGAAUGUUCUAGAACGAGAAUGCAUUCUUUCAUUUUAGGAAGCACUUAAUGCAUCUAUGAUGUUUUUAACCCUGGAAACAAUACAGCAUAACAAGGCUAGAGAGAUGGCUUCGUGGGGAAAGUGCUUACUACAAAAAUCCAAUGACCCGAGUUCCAUCCCUGGGACCCGUGUGGUAGGAGGAGAGAACUGAUACCCAUACGUUGUCCUUUGACCUCCACAGGAGUGUUGUGGCAUGCUCAAACCAGCAUGCCACACACACACACACACACACACACACACACACACACACACAUACACACACACACACACACACACACACACGCAGACACACACAGAAUAAAUAAAUUACAUUAAAACAUGGUAUAUUUUUUCUAAAGCACACAAAUUUUACGUGCUCACCUUAAUGAAUUCUUAUGUAUGUGUCCAUCUAGGUAUAUCAGUGCUAUUGUGAUAUGCAAAUUUGAAGUAUGUUUCCUUUGUACAUGUAACUAACAACCUAUGUCCUUAAUGUUGUGUUAUGGUUUAUAUAUGUUUGGCCCAGGAAUGGCACUAUUAGGUGUGGCUCUCCGCCCAUUGAUGCCAAAUAAGGCCAUCCUCUGCCACCUAUUCGGCUGGUCCAUUCCUAUGUACUCUUGGGAUGGUGGUUUAGUCCCUGGAAGCAUUUGGGGGGGGGGGUCUUGUUGGUUGAUAUUGUUGUUGCUCUUAUGGAGUUGCAAACCCCUUCAGCUCCUUCAGCCCUUUCUCUCCUCCAUGGGGGACCCCAUUCUCAGUUCAAUAGUUGGCUGUGAGCAUCCUCAUCUGUAUUUGUCAGGCUCUGGCAGAGCCUCUCAGGAAACAGCUCUAUCAGGCUCCUGUCAGCAUGCACUUCUUGGCAUCUGCAAUAAUGUCUGGGUUUGGUGACUGUAUAUUGGAUGGAUGCCCCAGGUGGGGCAGUCUCUGGAUGGCCUUUCCUUCAGUCUCUGAUCCACACUUUUUUUUUUUUUUUUUGGUUCUUUUUUUCGGAGCUGGGGACCGAACCCAGGGCCUUGCGCUUCCUAGGCAAGCACUCUACCACUGAGCUAAAUCCCCAACCCUUCUGAUCCACACUUUAUAUCCAUUUUUCCUCCCGUGAGUAUUUUGUUCCCUCUUCUAAGAAGGACUGAAGUAUCCGCAGUUUAGUCAUCCUACUUCUUGAACGUCGUGUGGCCUAUAAAUUAUAUCUUGGGAUUUCCAAGCUUUUGGGCUAAUAUUCACUUAUCAGUGAGUGCAUACCAUGUGUGUGCUUUUGUGAUGAGGUUACCUUACUCAGGAUGAUAUUUUCUAGUCCUAUCCAUUUGCCCAAGAAUUUCAUGAAGUCAUUGUUUGUAAUAGCUGAGUAGUACUCCAUUGUGUAAAUGUACACUUUCUGUAUCCAUUCCUCUGUUGAAGGACAUCUGGGUUCUUCCAGCUUCUGGCUAUUAUAAAUAAGGCUGCGAUGAACAUAGUGGAGCAUGUGUCCUUGUUAUAUGUUGGAACAUCAUUUGGGUGUAUGUCCAGGAGUGGUACAGCAUGGGUCCCUAGGUAGUACUAUGUCCAAUUUUCUGAGGAACCUCCAGACUGAUUUCCAAAGUGGUUGUAUCAGCUCGCAAUCCCACCAACAAUGGAGGAGUGUUCCUCUUUCUCCACAUCCUCGCCAGCAUCUGUUGUCACCUGAGUUUUUGAUCUUAGCCAUUCUGACUGCUGUGAGGUGGAAUCUCAGGGUUGUUUUGAUUUGCAGUUCCCUGAUGACUAAGGAUGUUGAACAUUUUUUAGGUGCUUCUCAGCCAGUCAAUAUUCUUCAGUUGAGAAUUCUUUGUUUAGCUCUGUACCUCAUUUUUAAUAGGGUUAUUUGGCUCUCUGGAGUCUAACUUCUUAACUUCUUCGUAUAUAUUGGAUAUUAGCCUUCUAUUGGAUGUAGGAUUGGUAAAGAUCUUUUCCCAAUCUGUUGGUUGCCAUUUUGUCCUAAUGACAAUGUCCUUCACCUUACAGAAGCUUUGCAGUUUUAUGAGGUCUCAUUUGUCGAUUCUUGAUCUUAGAGCAUAAGCCAUUGGUGUUAUGCUUAGGAAAUUUUACCCUGUGCCCACAUGUUCAAGGCUCUUUCCACUUUUUCUUCUAUUAGGUUGAGUGUAUCUGGUUUUACGUGGAAGUCCUUGAUCCACUUGAACUUGAGCUUUGUACAAGGCAAUAAGAAUAGGUCAGUUUGCCUUCUUUUACAUGCUGACCUCCAGUUGAACCAGCACCAUUUGUUGAAAAUGCUGUCUUUUUUUCCACUGGAUACUUUUAGCUCCUUUGUCAAAGAUCAAGUGACCAUAGGUGUGGGGGUUCAUUUCUGGGUCUUCAAUUCUAUUCCACUGGUCUAUCUGCCUGUCUCUGUACCAAUACCAUACAGUUUUUAUCACUAUUGCUCUGUAAUACACCUUGAGGUCAGGGACGGUGAUUUCCCCAGAAGUUCUUUUAUUGUUGAGAAUUGUUUUUGCUAUCCUGGGCUUUUGUUAUUCCAGAUGAAUUUGCAAAUUGCUAUUUCUAACUCUGUGAAGAAUUGAGUUGAAAUUUUGAUGGGAAUUGUAUUGAGUCUGUAGAUUGCUUUGGGCAAAAUGGCCAUCUUUACUAUAUUAAUUUUCCCAAUCCAUGAGCAUGGGAGAUCUUCCCAUCUCCUAGAUCUUCUUCAAUUUCUUUCUCCAGAGACUUGAAGUUCUUGUCAUACAGAUCUUUCACUUGCUUGGUUAGAGUCACACCAAGGUAUUUUAUAUUAUUUGUGAUUACUGUGAAAGGUGUUGUUCCCCUAAUUUUUUUCUCAGCCUGUUUAUCCUUUGUUUAGAGGAAGGCUACUGAUUUGUUUGAGUUAAUUUUAUAUCCAGCUACUUUGCUAAAGUUGUUUAUCAGCUGUAGGAGUUCUCUGGUAUAAUAUUUGGGGUCACUUAAGUAUCUAUCAGAUCAUCUGCAAAUAGUGAUAUUUUGACUUCCUCUUUUCCAAUUUGUAUCCCUUUGACCUCCUUUUGUUGUCUGUUUGCUCUGGCUAGGACUUCGAGUACUAUAUUGAAUAAAUAGGGAAAGAGUGGGAAACCUUGUCUAGUCCCUGAUUUUAGUGGGAUUGCUUCAAGUUUCUCUCUAUUUAGUUUGAUGCUGGCUACUGGUUUGCUGUAUAUUGCUUUUACUAUGUUUAGGUAUGGGCCUUGAAUUCCUGAUCUUUCCAAGACUUUUAACAUGAAGGGGUGUUGAUUUUUGUCAAAUGCUUUUUCAGAAUCUAAUGAGAUGAUCAUGUGGGUUUUCCCCUCCUCUUUGAGAUUGUUUAUAUAGUGGAUUACAUUGAUGGAUUUCCAUAUAUUGAAACAUCCCUGCAUCCCUGGGAUGAAGCCUACUUGGUCAUGAUGGAUGAUCAUUUUGAUGUGUUUGAUGGUUUCAUUGAGUAUUUUUGGAUCGAUAUUCAUAAGGGAAUCUGUUCUGAAGUUCUCUUUUGUUGGAUAUUUGUGUGGUUUAGGUAUAAGUGUAAUUGUGGCUCCAUAGAACGAAUUGGGUAGGGUUCCUCCUGUUUCUAUUUUGUGGAAUACUUUGGAGAGUAUUGGUAUGAGGUCUUCUAUGAAGGUCUGACAGAACUGAGCACUAAACCCAUCUGGUCCUGGGCUUUUUUUGGUUGGGAGACUUUUAAUGACUGCUUUUAUUUCUUUAGGGACUUUGGGACUGUUUAGAUGGUUGAUCUGAUCCUGAUUUAACUUUGGUACCUGGUAUCUGUCUAGAAAAUUGUUCAUUUCCUCCAGAUUUUCCAGUUUUGUUGAGUAUAGGCUUUUGUAAAAGGAUCUGAUGAAUUUUUGAAUUUCCUCAGAUUCUGUUUUGUCUCCCUCUUCAUUUCUGACUUUGUUAAUUUGGAUACUCUCUCUGUGCCCUCUGUUUAGUCUGGCUAAGUGUUUAUCUAUCUUGUUGAUAUUCUCAAAGACUCAGCUCCUGGUUUUGUUGACUCUUUUUGUUCCUACUUGGUUGAUUUCAGCCCUGAGUUUGAUUAUUUCCUGCCUUCUACUCCUCUUGGGUGUAUUUGCUUCUUUUUGUUCUAGAGCUUUCAGGUGUGCUGUGAAGCUGCUAGUGUAUGCUCUCUCCUGUUUCUUUUGGAGGCCCUCAGACCUAUGAGUUUUCCUUUUAGCACUGCUUUCAUUGUAUCGCAUAAGUUUGGGUAUGUUGUGCUUUCAUUUUCAUAAAACUCUAAAAAGUUUUUAAUUUCUUUAUUUCUUUCUUGACCAAGUUAUCAUUGAGUAGAUCUUUGUUCAGAUUUCAUGUGUAUUUGGGCUUUCUGUAAAUUUUGUUAGUUCAUGGUGAUCUGAUACAAUACAUGGGAUUGUUUCAAUAUUCUUGUAUCUGUUUAGGCCUGUUUUGUGACCAAUUUUAUGGUCAACUUGGAGAAGGUACCAUGAGGUGCUGAGAAGAAAGUAUAUUCUUUUAUUUUAGGAUGAAAUGUUCUAUAGAUACCUGUUAAAUCCAUUUGGUUCAUAACUUCUGUUUCACUGUGUCUGUUUACUUUCUGUUUCCAUGAUCUCUCCUUUGAUGGGAGUGGGGUGUUGAAAUCUCCCACUAUUAUUGUGUGAGGUGCAAUGUGUGCUUUGAGCUUUAGUAAGGUUUCUUUUAUGAAUGUGGGUGUCCUUGCAUUUGGAGCAUAAAUAUUCAGAAUUGAGAAUUCAUCCUGAUGGAUUUUUUUCUUUGACGAGUAUGAAGUGUCUGUCCUUACCUUUUUUGAUAACUUUUCGUUGAAAGUCUAUUUUAUUUGAUAAUAGAAUGGCUACUUCAACUUGUUUCUUGGGACCAUUUGCUUGGAAAAAUUUUUCCUAGCCUUUUACUUCGAGGAAGUGUCUGUCUAUGUCACUGAGGCAUGUUUCCUGUAUGUACCAAAAUGCUGGGUCCUGUUUACAUAUUCAGUCUGUUAGUCUAUGUCUUUUUACUGGAGAAUUGAGUCCAUUGAUGUUGAGAGAUAUUAGGGUCCCAUGAUUAUUGUUUCCUGUUAUUUUUGUUGUUAGAGGUAGAAUUAUGUUUUUGUGGCUAUCUUCUUUUGGGUUAGUUGAAAGAAGAUUACUUUCUUGCUUUUGUGUAGGGUGUAGUUUCCCUCCUUGUCUUGGAAUUUUUCCAUCUAUUAUCCUUUGUAGGGCUGGAUUUGUGGAAAGAUAUUGUGUAAAUUUGGUUUUGUCAUGGAAUAUCUUGGUUUCUCCACUUAUGUUAAUUGAGAGUUUUGCUGGCUAUAGUAGCCUGGCCUGGCAUUUGUGUUCUCUUAGUGUCUGUAUGACAUCUGCCCAGGAUCUUUUAGCUUUCACAGUCUCUGUUGAGAAGUCUGAUGUAAUUCUGAUAGGUCUGCCUUUAUAUAUUACUUUACCUUUUUUCCAUACAUUUUUAAUAUUCUGUCUUUGUUUUGUGCAUGUGGUAUUUUGACUAUUAUUUGACAGGAGGAAUUUCUUUUCUGGUCCACUCUAUUUGAAGUUCUGUAUGCUUCUUGUAUGUUUAUGGGCAUCUCUUUCUUUUGGUUAGGGACGUUUUCUUUUAUAAUUUUGUUGAAGAUAUUUACUUGCCCUUUAAGUUUGGAAUCUUCACUCUCUUCUAUACCUAUUAUCCUUAGUUUUGAUCUUCUCAUUGUGUCCUGGAUUUCUUGGAUGUUUUGAGUUAGGAGCCUUUUGCGUUUUGCAUUAUCUUUGACAUUUGUGUCAAUGUUUUCUGUGGUAUCUUCUGCCCCUGAGAUUCUCUCUUCUAUCUCUUGUAUUCUAUUGGUGAUACUUGCAUCUAUGACUCAUGAUCUCUUUCCUAGGUUUUCUAUCUCCAGGGUUGUCUCCCUUUGUGCUUUCCUUAUUGUUUCUAUGUCCACUUUUAAAUUCUGGAUGGUUUUGUUCAAUUCCUUCACCUGUUUGGUUGUGUUUUCCUGUAAUUCUUUAAAGGAUUUCUGUGUUUCCUCUUUAAGGACUUCUACUUGUUUACCUGUGUUGUCCUGUAUUUCUUAUAUUUUUGGUUGUGAGCCUAGCCUUUAACAGCUGAGCCAUCUCUCCAGCCCUGUCCUGUAUUUCUUUAAGCAAGUUAUUUAUGUCCUUCUUAAAGUCAUCUAAUAUCAUCAUGAGAUGUGAUUUUAAAUCAGAAUUGUGCUUUUCUGGUAUGUUGGGGUAUCCAGAACUUGCUGUGGUGGGAGAACUGGGUUCUGAUGAUGCCAAGUGGCCUUGGUUUCUGUUGCUUAGGUUCUUGCACUUGCCUCUCGACAUCUGCUUAUCUCUGGUGUUAGCUGGUCUUGCUGUCUCUGACAGUGGCUUGACCUUCCCGUAAGCCUGUGUGUCAGCACUCCUGGGAGAUGAGAUGAGCUCUAUCCCUGUGGGAUCUGGGUACAAAGAGCUGUGGCACUGGGUCAGCUCCAGGCGCAGACAGAAACUGGAAGGAUCCUGUCCCAGACUGCUCCUGUGUCCUGAAGGCUUUAGGUGGGUCCCUCUGAACAGAAGUGGUGAUCUCAUCUGUGUUCUCAGGUGUGUCAGCACUCCUGGGAGACCAGCUCUCUCCUGGCGGGAUCUGAGUACAGAGGGCUGUGGAACAGGUUCAGCUCAGGGUGCAGGCAGAAACCGGAAAAGAUUACGUUAACUUUUAAUUCCACCUUGCAACCCUCUAGUUCAAAAUUCUGUUCUUGUUUCUAUCAGGACACUGAAUCUGAGUGCUGAGAGGAAGAAAGGUGGGUAGUGACCCAGUGUUACUCUGGGGUACAGGUUCCUCCCUAAGGUGAACGUAAGAGUCAACCAUAGUAUCCUCACUUUAUAGAUGAAGAAAUUGAGUUUCAAAUGUAUUCUGUCCUUGGUUCUACAGUUAGACAGAGUUUGAAACUCUGUCUCUGUGGUACCAAGUCUUUAUUCUUUCUUUUAGACUAUUGGCAAGAUGUUAUGAUGUAUUUUCUUUAUUUUAGUUUUCCUGAAAGCAAAGCCUGAGGUAUUUUAUCUGGAAAGUGAUCCUAGAGAAUAAGAGCGGGGAGCAAGGGGUAUGAGACAGAAAAGCCAGGAAGCCCAUACAUGGAUGACCUCUUGGUUUGGCUAUAACUGAGGUCAGCUUCUGUCCUUUCUUCUCAACUCUUCUUAGGCGACUUAGGAGGUGUGUCAUAACACCAUCCAUCUAGAAGACCCAAGGAGAACGGGAUAUCUAGUAGUUUUCAUCAUCCAGUGGCCAAAGGCACCACAAUGUUAGAUGUCUUCUGAUUUCUGGGUUGUAAUGUGUUGGUAUCAAGGAGACUCUCCUUCCCUUUAUACCUCACAAUGGUCCAAGACAAGACCUGAUACAGAAGAAAAGGAGUCAAGGUGAAGGCCCCCGUAAGACACAGUCAAAGUGCUAUUAGGUGAAACUGGACCAAGAUGACAUGUAGCUGAAUGCUACCAUGGGCUGAGGAUGCAACGCUGGGUCUUGUGCUUAGCUGGUGCUCUAAUCCCUGAGCUGUAUUCCCUAGGCUGUACUUGAAUUAUCAGUAACUCUCAGAUGUCUGAACCCAUGAAUAAUGAAAGAGUUCAUGGAUAAAAUCUGUUUGCCACAGAAAGGUAGGGUCUUUGUCUGCCUAGUAUCUUUACCCUGUUCUCCAUACAGAACUACCUUAAAAUUUUUUAUUGCAUUUAUUUAUUUACUAUAUGUGUGCAUGUAUGUGUGUGAGCAUGCACACACGUGUGCAUAUGUAUCAUGGCACAUGUGUUGAGAUAGCAACUUGUGGGAAUUGGUUCUUUCCUUUCCUUAUAUGGGUCUCAGGAAUCAAACUCAGGUCAUUGGCCAUCCAUCUGGGUUUAGAGCAAGCACUCUUACCUGCCCAGCCAUCUUGUGAGCCCCAGAACUACUUUCUUUUAAAUGAAGGAAUUUCCUAGCUUACCAGAGUCUUACCAACAUAACUAAGUCCACUUAAAUCAGACUAAUCAAUUCCCUUGGCUAGGCAUAAGUAUGGAAUGUUAAAGAGGCCAAUAUAACUUUCAUGAGAUUUGAUAUUUAUGUGUUUACUGAGGAGGAAUGUCUCUCCACUCUCCAUAAAUUUCAGAUCAUAAACUAUACAGGCGAUAUAAACUGGAGUUGCUUGCUUGCUUCCUCUUCCUCCUCCUCCUCCCCCUCUUCCUCCUCCUCUUCCUCCUCUUCCUCCUCUCCCCCUCCUCCUCUCCCUCUUCCUUCUCCCCACCUCCUCUUCUUUCUUUUCUUCUUUUGGAGUUACUUUCUCUUACCUUUGCAGACUUCGUGGAGAGAGCUAUGAGUCUUAAGCUAACAGAGAAGCACAAUGAAGAAAGGUGGGGGUGGAUGGAGAGUCAGGAUCCUAAGAUCAUCAUUUGGACCUUGAAUCCUGCUAUUUCUGAAGACAAACACAAUCUUUUGUACACACUGAGUUUCCAUCCAAUUUCAUUUUGAGGUCUUAAAAGCUGCAGAGUAAGGAGAUCAGAUGAAUGCAUGUGUUUGUUAUUAGCAAUAAACAUCUGUGGUGUCCCAGCUGGACUUAUUUUAUCCUGGAAAUGUCUGCUCAGUUCUGUUCCCCAUGAGGACACACUGGCCAGUUCUGCCGGACAGAGGACUUGGUGACACAACACAUCAUGCUUUUCACACAGUGGGUGAAAUCCUCAGCCCCAUCCAUUUUGAAUCCAACCUACAGCUUGAUUCUGGCCUUCUGAAAUCAAUAUGCCUGUGAGGAUUCAGUGAUCAGCUCACAUUUGACAGUGAUAGCAUGGUACCCAGCAGCCUCCUGGUCCUCCUGGUAUCAUGGUCCAUGGUGCCAAUCAUAGUUUCUGAAGGCAAUCAGACCAGGGCAUCUCCAAAUAUGCCACUUUGGUACGAUGACUACUUUGAGCAUUGGAAAUAGCAGAAGCAGGACGAGUUUUAUCACCUCCUCUCUUCUACCUGAAAUAGACCACAAAGCUUCCCACUCGCCAGAUAUUCUCCCUAAACCAGCAAGGAAAGAACAUCUUUAUCACCAGACACUGUGAACUGACUCUAAAAUGGAGCUGUACAGAUUAACCCACUGAGAGGAUCCUCAUCCUGUUUUAGUUCAUCACUCUCAUAUGCAUCCCUAGUGACUUUGCCAGAGUUCAUUUGAGUUAGUCACAGACCUGGAAAGAACAUACAGGAGAUUUUCUAUUUCUUUCCUAAUAAGCCCUUAAAGAUCCCAAAUGGUUUGGGCCACAUUUCUUCUCCUUGUUCUUUAUGCAUGCUAAGUCAUAGGGGUUUGAUGCCUUUCCUUUUACUGUUAACACACAGUGAGGUGUUGAGGGGUAGCACAAAAGACACACAACGUGUCUGUGAUUCAGAGAGUGCAUUAUAGUAUAGGAGGAGAAUGCUGAAUGCUAAAACAGGGAUAGUUAAGGGAGAGUUGCAGGGACCUAAGCAAAGACUUAGUUCACUCAGGUUAUGGGAAUCAAGGAAGAUUCAUGGGAGAUUUUCAAUAGUCCAUGUAGGAGGAAUGAAAUGGAGUCAAAGACCAAUGAAUUGAAGUGUUCUUGGAUGACAACUUCAGAUUCCUUGAGCAGAGGAGCAGGUAGAGUGGGCCAGCUUAGGAAGACACCAUGAGCUAAUUUCAAAAGUCACUAAUGGAUUUCUUUGUUAUUUUUCCAAACUAUGGAGUUAGAAAACUCAAACAUCAGCGUUCCCAGCUUCCCUUGCAGCUACGCAUUACUGAACUCUAAGAAAGUACAGAGGGUGUAAUAGAUGGAAGUCAUAGAUGGCAUGUGUAGAUAUACUUAGCUUGGGUUUCCCAUCUUCUACUUCUUACAUGGUAAUGCACAAGAGUAUUGAAGGGCAUACAAGCCAUAGUAAUACCAAGAAAGAGACUACAUUCACAAAAUGGCAGAGAAGAAAGGCAGAAAGAACUUAUUUCCUCAGGCACAACACCUGGUUACUAUGAAACUCUAGACCACUUUCCUGAAUAUUCUUUAAUAUGUGUGACCAAUAAUAACAAUAAUAAUUCUAAGUUAGUGGAGCUGCUCUAUUGGUUGAGAGCCUUCUUAGCACACGUUAAGGUCUGGGUUCAGUUCCCAGAACCCCAGCACCCCAUUCCAGGUACACACCUGUAAUCCCAGCACUUGGGAGAUAGAGGAAGAAGGAUCAGAAGUUCAAGGUAGCUUUGGUUACACAGUAAGUUUGAGGCCAGUCUAGGGUACAUAAGACUUUAUUUUAAAGAAAAAAAUUCUUAUUUUAGUGAAGUCUUAGGUUUUCCAUUAUCUCCAGCUGAUCAAGCUAUAUGCUGAAAAUAACUAUGUUACUGAAAAAACUGAAGUUUACUCAAAGUCCUUUCUGCAUGGAGGCAGGGGAAUGUCUGUCAUUCUGGGAAAAGUGUCCCCGGUAGCUUUUUACUGUUUACACUCAUCAAGGCUCAGUUGAGAGCUGACUUCUUUGUAGACGCUUUGACCUCUGUCUUGGUCUUCUCUAGACUCACUAGUUGGCUGUUGGUCAAUUUGUAAGUAUAAAUACAUGAUAUGUAUUGAUGCUGAUUCUUGGUAGAUAAGUUUUAUUCAGCUCUAACCAUACUUUAAGUACAGUUAUCCAGUACUGUUACCAGUUCUUCUUGCAUUUAUGCUAGGAAUCCCCAGGAGGAAGAUAAGUACCUUGUAGGAGGUGACUAUGCUUUACAUUUUCUCAAAAUGCCCAGUCUGGGUAGCCAAACUGUGAAUGACAAGUAUCAGAGUCACGGGUUUGAAUCCUGGCCCCUUCACCAAAUAUUUGAAGACUUUAGACAAGUUUCCUAACCUUUAUAUGCUUCAAUUUCCUUACCUGAAGAAUGGAAGUUUAUAAAAAAUGUACCCUUAAAGUUAUUAUGAAAUGAAAAUGAAACAUUUUCAUAAAUUGACUAGCACUGUUUUUAUUAUCAUUGCAUGUGCAGAAGAUAGACUAUGCUAACAACCAUCCCUGUAUCCAUGGGCUUUUCAGUGUGAUAUCGCAGCUCUUCCCAUUGUGAAAUGGACUCCAUUGUCUUACUCCUCAAUCUACAUGGGUCUUGUGGCAUUCUCUGGACGAUAAAGUAUGGAAAAAUAAUACUGGAUUUCAUCUCAAUCUAGACCUCAAGAGACCUUGUACAUACCCAUUUUCCAACUCAAGACCCUGUCCUUGCCAUAAGAACAAUCUAGAACACUGUCUGCCAGAGGAUACAAGUCUUUGUGGUGCCAAGUGGCUAUGUGCACCUUCUCAGUCCUAGAUGCAUAUGAAUGAGUCCAGCCAAGAUCAGGGAACUCUUUCAUUAAUGAGCAACAAUAAAUGGUUCUGUUGUU
Non-coding RNA from Rattus norvegicus (Norway rat), 15587 nucleotides. Lineage: Eukaryota; Metazoa; Chordata; Mammalia; Rodentia; Muridae. The record is from RefSeq and is a predicted model, not a curated record.